AUCUUAAACCCAAAAAAAAUAACAUCUUCACAAAAGAAAAGAGAUACAAAGAAAACAAUGUCAGCACAGAAGAUUCAACUUGCUUCUUUAAUCCUAGCUUUUUUUCUUCUAUUUUCUCAGUCAACUGCUACAUGUCACUAUAGAUUCCCACCCUCAGGCCGCCCUUGUACGAAAAAUGCCGACUGCAAGAACGUGUGCACACAGCCUGAAGAAGAUCGAACUUUUCUAUUGUGCCUUACGGGUAUCCCACUGUUAGGCAGAUGUUGUUGUUUAGCACCAUAGUCUUGUUCAACAUAAUACAUCGUUAUAUUUCUCAUUACCUAUCAUAAGAUUUAAAAUCAAUAAAAAAAUUAUGUUUGCAUAAGGCAUCUACAAUGCGUCAGUCAGGUCAGCUUCUGAAAUUAGGUUGUUUAUCUGAUGUUCAUGUCAAGAACUUGUGGAGCUUCUAAAAAAAUAUUCACACCUAGUCUUUAUCAAUGUGGAACUAUUUUUCGUAUGUAGUAGUAGCAGUAAUAAACGUACAGAAUACCUCUUCGGAAUUGCUCUGAAACCAAAAUUGUAAUUGCAUAAUCACCAGCACUUGUGAUGUGUCAAUUGCUCUAGUGAAUCAGGGUUAACUUUUAAACUCCUCUGCUACAUUAACAAUUAAAGGUAACUUGUACAUGAGAAUAUAUACCGACGAGAUAUAACUAAGAGAACUUGUACAAAUGUUCAAAGGUAACUUAUAUAAAUGUUCGAAUAUAUACCGAUUGUUCAUGUGACUUAGCCCAUCAUUUCAAGCGUUUUUUUUUUUUUGUCUUUUGUCCCUCUGUAACCAUUUCACUUUGUUUUUUUACUUGUAACAACUGCUUGUCCUAACAUUACACAGCCUCUUUGUAAUGUCGAACCUGAAGCAAUUAUUGAAAUAUGCUUCUCUAGUUCUUCAAAUAGCUUGAUAUCAUAUGAUCUCUCUAGUACAUGAGAGCUAAAACAACCAAAGGUUUUGACAGUUUCAGUAGCACACACUCUUCCAGAGAAGAGUAAUCUCUUGUGGAGUGAGUGACAGCAAUUCUCCUGCUUUUUAACACUCUACAGAACCACAAGACUCUCCUUUUUCAGAAUGCUUCAGUCAGACCAUUGGAAUCUGAGAGAUCAAAGAGACAAGUCAACCAUUAAAACAGAACCAUCCUGUUCCAGAUUGUGAUUGCAAACGAUCCUCUGAUUCAUUUUUCUGCAUCAGUUCUGUCUCUAUUCUUACAUAAUAACCCUUCUGCUUGAACAGUUUGUCACUCCUGCUUCUGCAUCUUGGUUCAUAAUGUGAUAGACUUGCUGAACCAAUUCUGUCUCAUGAAAACAGAUCAUUCUCUUCAGCUAAAAUGAGUUUUUUUUUUUAUUUCUUGGCUCAACUCUGUUUUUAAGCUUUGUAUCUCCAAUAUUUUUGACCAUUACAUCAUACAGUUCCUAUGAAGAAAGUUUCCUUCUGAAUUCACUACUAAGUCAUCCUACUUUUCCAUAUGUACUCUUGUCGCAAUGUAUUUGGCUAAAUAGAUUCCGUUGGCAAGCAAUAAGCCCUAGCCGCCUACCAGAUUCUGCACCUUUGAUGGUAUCGUCUUAUUACUGCCAAUGCAAUAAGGAACAGUGAGGUUCAUAUCCACCCUUCCGAUGUACAAGUUUGUUUGGUGCAACAGAUUAAUUUGGACAAGGAUCGUGAAUUGACCAAAACUUGUAAUUAAUGUUAUGCUUGUUUACUAAGUAAUGAAUAGAAUGGUUUAAUUUUGGUAUUAUAUCCCAUAAAAUCAUCUCCUACCGAUUAUUAGUUUGAUUUUUCUUUGUUUGACCAGAACUCUUAAGUUUAGAAUUUGUUUUUGCUGAGAAUUUAAUUAAUGCAAUUCAAUUGGAUUCUGAAGAUAUAUGUCAAUAUACUAUUUCUUUGUUAAUAAAUUAUAUUAGGAAUGGAUAUUCAAUUCUACUCUGCAGAGAAUAUUAUAUAAUUAAUGCAAGAUCUACACAUAAUUAAUGUUGUAGAACACUGGAUUCUGAAACAAUAUAUCUUUGUUAACAAACUAAUUAGUAACGUAUAUACAAAUAUAAGCAAAUAUUUAAAGGGGGAUGGUCAUUUGAUCUUAAACCCAAAAAAAACAUCUUCACAAAAGAAAAGAGAUACAAAGAAAGCAAUGUCAGCACAGAAGAUUCAACUUGCUUCUUUGAUCCUAACUUUUUUUCUUCUGUUUUCUCAAACAACUAGUAGAUGUAACUAUAGAAGGCCACACUCAGGCCCUUGUAAGAAGGGUGACGACUGCAAGAACGUGUGCAUACUGCCUUCAGAAGAUCCAACUUUUCUAGCAUGUCUUACUGGUCCCCCAUUGUUUGGCAUAUGUUGUUGUUUAGUAAAACAAAAAUAGUCUUGUCAUUACCUAUCAUAAGAUUUAAUAUCAAUAAAAGUUGUGUUUGCAUCGUUUUUAAAUUUUUCUCUAGAGGGUUAGUUACCAACUAAUUAUCACCAUAGUGUCUGAAUAUGAUUGCUUUCUCUCCUGAUCUUGAGAUCAGGUCAAGAGAAGGUUGUUACACACUUCAAGAAGAGUUUAAAAUACACGUUUGCUCAUAAACAACUUAGCAGACCAAUCUACCUUAUUGCAUGAGUUCUUCAUUUAUCAAAGUUUUUUGUACUUUUCUCCUUAGGUUUAACAGCUUAGCAGACCAAUCUACCUUAUUGCAUGAUUUCUAUAUAUCACAGAGUUAUGAAAAAAACAAAAAUGUUGUCUCUCUAUUAAAGUUUUUUUUUGUGAAAAUACUUCUAUCUUGUGCAGCAGUGAAUACUGAGAUCAGACUCUGCCUUGGAGUUUAUCGUUAUUAACAAGAGGAAGCAACUCCAUCUUGUUUCUUGGUGUACAUUCAUUUCUAGGAGCAUAAUACUCUGAAAUCCUGGUGUAAUCACAAAGAUUGACUUUGUCAUGUUUGUUUUGUUUUUAGUGUUUAUAGAAAAAGAUGAUGUCAGGGGCAACUGAUGAAACAAAGACAAGCUGAAAAUAAAACUGAAGAUGUCACUAAACCAUGCAGUUAUUUGCAUUUCAGUCACAAGAUUCAUACUCACAUUUUUCAUUGGUUUUCUUUCAAGCUCCUUCUAACUUGCUCAUUCCUUUUGUGUCGAUCUCAUAGGUGCUUGAUGAGUUUAGUGUUUGUGUUGCAUUUCAGGUUUGUUUGACCUUUUUUGUUUGUUAAUGUCAUCUUUACAAGUCAUUUUCAAGUGUCAACAAUGUUUACCAUAAAUCUGAUUUUGAACGGCUUUCACAGCUGCAACUCUAGCAGCUGUCGAGAGCUUUGUUAGCCGCAGCUACAGCCCGUACCACCUGCUCAUCGACCCCUCAGACAUUAUCAAACAAAAAAUCUUCCGAUGAAUGUAACGAAAAAAAUGCUCUUUUUAUUACCGGAAGUGGUAAGAACCAAGUCCAUGUUUGAGACCAAACUUGAAUUUUCUGACAUAAGAGCUUCCGUCAGCGCAUGUCUGAACACCAAAGCCAUGGCUUUGACCGUUAAACCAUUCACCGGAGUAAGAAUCUCCGGUGUAGAACCAGUAAACUCAGUAACCAUGUCUAAGUCCUUGCUUGUACUGUCCUUUAUACUUACUUCCUUUAGACCAAGACUCGAUUCCAUAGCCGUCGUAUCUUCGAUUGAUCCAAUUUCAUUCGUAUCUUAAUAAUAGUAAAAAAAAAAUAGUUACGUAAAUAGUCCAACCUUAAUUCAUUUAAUUUAAAUCAUUUACUACUUGAUGACUUAAAAGUUAAAACAUUAAUUUCGGUAAAUAAUGGCAUUACGAACUACUUAUAAGUUAUAACUUGUACCAGUUCUUAAUGACUUCAAAAGGAAGAAAACUACCUUAAGCUAAUGACAUGGGUUAAGUAAACAAUGGAAAGAUACUCCGACCCAAAAAUACAACAAUUACAGUCUUUCAGAGAAUAUCCAACCUUAAUUUAUUUAAUUUAAAUCAUUUACUACUUACCAAGAUCCUAAUUAAACUAAACAAACAAAAUACAUAAUACUAACUCAUAUAAGAAAGUGAACUUACUUUAUUAGCUUGCUUUGAAAACAAAGUCUCAUUUCAAAUAGAACCGAAGAAGAACAACAACAAUAGCAUAACAAUAAGGUCUUUUACAAAUGAUUCAAAGCUUCAGACCACUCUCUUAAGCUUCAGCUUCAUCCUCUCAAUUGCACUACGCAGAGUCUCCUCAUCUUUACAGAACGCAAACCUCACCAAGUUCUUCCCAUCUUCCGGAUUCAAAUAAAACACACUCGUAGGGAUCGCAACCACCCCAACUUCCUUGAUAAGAUACUCACAGAAGGCCACAUCAUCCCCAAACCCAAACGGCGUGUGAU
Long non-coding RNA from Brassica rapa (field mustard), 4350 nucleotides. RefSeq lists it as uncharacterized. The record is from RefSeq and is a predicted model, not a curated record. NCBI's taxonomy places the organism in Eukaryota, Viridiplantae, Streptophyta, Magnoliopsida, Brassicales, Brassicaceae.